Long non-coding RNA from Zootoca vivipara (common lizard), 1810 nucleotides. RefSeq lists it as uncharacterized. The record is from RefSeq and is a predicted model, not a curated record. NCBI's taxonomy places the organism in Eukaryota, Metazoa, Chordata, Lepidosauria, Squamata, Lacertidae.
GUAGGCAGGGGAAUCCUUCUUCCGAGUGCACUUAGAAUUCUCCCUGCAACUGGGAACCUUUUGUGACCAGGGCUUACAGGAUUAGUAGGACAGCAGGCAGGGCAGCUAGCAGUUGAUGGAGCCAGAGUCAACGGCAGACAGAGGCAGCUCAUUUCAUACCUAUCCCCCUCUGGGCCAAGUUCUACAAAGGGAACCUGGAGACUGAGUAGGAGGAAGGUGACCGCAAGUGCCACCUUCUGGACCGGUUGGAAGGCAGAUAGAGGAUGGCUGAAAACAGACUGAGGCUGGCGGGGCAAUACCUCAUUGCCCCCAAUGGAGCAGAUUCCACUGGUGGGAAGGACCCUAAGUGUUCCCAACACUUGAUGAGGAUGUAGCUGGUGGGGAUGUGGGCACUGGAAGUGAGGUGUGGCAGUAGAUGUGCUGGAUCAUUAACUGGCAAUGGACUGGAUGAGAGCCAGUUUGACUGAAGCUUCCUUCAGAUCCCUUUACCCAAUUUUCCGAUUACUAAACAGAUGUUAGGCUAUCCCUGUCGAGAAAGGGGCGUAGCUGAGCCACCAGACGAAGCUGACAGAAGAUACUCUGCGGCACCAAGGCCACCAGGACCUCAAGCAACAGUAAUGGAUCCAGGAGCACCCCCAAGUUACGGAAUGUAACCCCCUCAAGAGCAGGCAGUCUCCCAUUCAUCUAGGCUGGGGAGCCACCCACUAACAGUGGACAAAAUUACAUUAGGUUGUUGUUGUUGUUUUGUUUUAAAGCAUUUUAAAUGUGUUAUAACACCGUGACAGCAGAUGGCAUUGUAGAAUACGGUCCUUCAGCAAUGUGAUUUCCCAUUAUGAGCUUUACAGCACAUUUCCCUGAAACUUUGUUUUUUUUUAAUGUGUAUGGAUCCAGCCUGUGUCUCAGUCUUAUCUGGAUUGAGCAUCUGCUUAUUGGCUCUCAUCAAGCACAUCCACCACCCACCACACCUGUAGAUGUAAAGGAGAAAUAGAGCCAUGUGUCAUCAGCAUAUUGCUGACAACACAUUCUGGAACUCCUGAUCUUUGUCAAUGACAGAUUCCCCACUUCUGCACCCUGACGCUUUGCAUUCCUAAAUUGGUAUGAAUUUAUAUGGCUCGUGGUUUGGAAGGAAAGUGGUUGAGGUGGGUCUUCUGUAUUUGGAAGCUAUUGAGGGUCACUCUUGGGUCUGAUUAGAAUCUGUUGUAGAUUAGCUUUUGUUAAAUGUUUGCUGCUACCGACAAACACCGGAAACUCAGAUUUCCUCAAGUGUGCCUCACCUCGGUCUGUCCUCAGUGCAGUCGGGUCCCUUUUAUCCAAGAUGCAUAGCGAUGAAGCUCAGGCAGCUUCCAGGAAAACAGCAUGUCACUGGGAACCAGAGCCUCUUUGUAACUUGUUCAUCAUACCUCCAAUUAGUCUGAGUGUUCCUUGUGAAAAAUGAGCUUGCACAAGAGAUCCUGUACAGUCUAUGUAAUUACAUACUUUCAAACAAUAAGGGACAGAUUUCUAAGAAGUGACAAGACAAUGCCUUUCUAUGGCAAAUUUUUCUUGUGGGUUUAGCUCCUUGUAACUUUUAGGGAAAGAAAUGCACAGUGGUACCUUGGGUUACGAACUUAAUUCAUUCUGGAGGUCCAUUCUUAACUCAAAACCAUUCUUAACCUGAGGUGCACUUUCGCUAAUGGGGCCUCCUGCUGCCGCCACGCCGCCACCACACAAUUUCCGUUCUCAUCCUGGGGCAAAGUUCUCAACCCAAGGUACUACUUCCGGGUUAGCGGAGUUUGUAACCCAAAGCGUUUGUAACCCGAAGUGUUUGUAA